ACGACGAGAGGUUCCCUCACCAUUGGACGAAUCGUGUGCGUCAGCCAGGCAACCAAGAGAAGGAAGGAAUUUCAACUCCAGUCGCCAUCGGGGUUUCUGAUAGCGGGAUCGUCGCGACUCCGUUCUUUCUUAUCGCAUUUAUUUUUAUCAAUGGAGAGCACGCUUAAGCGUUUCUCACGUUUACGUACGCACGCCUUGCGAUUACGCUUAACGGCAUACGCGCGAUAUCGCGAGGAAAUAGAAGAACCCCCGAGUCUUAUUCUUCUUCGUCGUCGUCGUAUUCUCUUUUUCUUGUGGGAGGAGAAAAGGGAGAACAAAAAUAUUUACAAACAUACUUACGAACAAAUUUGAGCUACGUGAAAGGGAGAGAUUGAUAUGAGUUUAUUGUUCAAGGACAAUCGUGAAUUACGCCAUCAUAGCUUCUUCUCCUUCCUGUUCGAAAGGAUUACAAAGUUGAUUCAAGGAUACAGGAAAUAGCAUUUGACAUGCAUUUUACAAGAAAAAUCGAUUGACCAGUUACCGCGAUUAUUAAGAUCGUGUAUAUAAAUUUGUCUGUUUUCCUUUUUUUUUUUUUUUUUUCUUUUUUUUUCUUCUGAGAUAGAGUUCAUUUCUAUUUGGAAAGUAUGGCUUAUCGAUCGAUCGUAACUGUAUAAAGUAUCGAACUUUUCUUUCGCACAAACAACAAUAAAAUAUUCGAAGAUUAUAAACUGAUAAAAAAGAUCGUCCACGUGUGGACAAAUAGAUCAAGUCCGUGCCAUUUACAAAAAUCAUAAGUAAACAAAAGAAAAUUUCCUUUUCACGAUGAGAAGUAAUAUCUCACUUUGGACUAUUUGAUUUUCGUCUCGUCGAAAGAUCUUAAAUAAAGGAAGAAAAGGGAGAGAAAAAAGAAUAUCAGAAGAAGAAAAGAGAAAUAAGUGCGACUCCGAGUAUUAUUGGUGAAAAAAAGGUUAUAAAGGAAGAGAAAAGCAAGAAGCAAAGUCUUACGUAGUGCGCGGGAACCAUUUCAGUUUGGUGGGAAAACCAAAGAAAGAGAGAGAAAAAGAAUUUCUCGUGUCUAACGAGAGGCUCGAACGAAAGGG
This is a long non-coding RNA of Vespa mandarinia (Asian giant hornet), 1079 nucleotides long. The record is from RefSeq and is a predicted model, not a curated record. Lineage: Eukaryota; Metazoa; Arthropoda; Insecta; Hymenoptera; Vespidae.